Molecule: transfer RNA, 69 nt
Filed under: Ictidomys tridecemlineatus (thirteen-lined ground squirrel)
Lineage: Eukaryota; Metazoa; Chordata; Mammalia; Rodentia; Sciuridae
Description: Spermophilus tridecemlineatus (thirteen-lined ground squirrel) tRNA
Rfam family: tRNA
About the family: Transfer RNA (tRNA) molecules are approximately 80 nucleotides in length.
Source: Rfam by way of RNAcentral
GGGGAUGUGGCUCAGUGGUAGAGUGCUCGCCUAGCAUGUGUAAGGCCCUGGGUUCAAUUCUCAGCACCA